AUUGAACGCUGGCGGCAUGCUUUACACAUGCAAGUCGAACGGUAACAGGCCGCAAGGUGCUGACGAGUGGCGCACGGGUGAGUAAUGCAUCGGAACGUGCCCAGUCGUGGGGGAUAACUACUCGAAAGAGUAGCUAAUACCGCAUACGAUCUAUGGAUGAAAGCGGGGGACCGUAAGGCCUCGCGCGAUUGGAGCGGCCGAUGUCAGAUUAGGUAGUUGGUGGGGUAAAGGCUCACCAAGCCAACGAUCUGUAGCUGGUCUGAGAGGACGACCAGCCACACUGGGACUGAGACACGGCCUAGACUCCUACGGGAGGCAGCAGUGGGGAAUUUUGGACAAUGGGCGCAAGCCUGAUCCAGCAAUGCCGCGUGCAGGAAGAAGGCCUUCGGGUUGUAAACUGCUUUUGUACGGAACGAAACGGCUCUGGUUAAUACCCGGGGCUAAUGACGGUACCGUAAGAAUAAGCACCGGCUAACUACGUG
Molecule: ribosomal RNA, 482 nt
Filed under: uncultured bacterium
Lineage: Bacteria
Description: partial 16S ribosomal RNA
Rfam family: Bacterial small subunit ribosomal RNA
Source: RNAcentral